CAGCAGGCGCGAAAACUUUACAAUGCCGGCAACGGCGAUAAGGGAACCUCGAGUGCCAGGUUACAAAUCUGGCUGUCGUGAUGCCUAAAAAGCAUUGCAUAGCAAGGGCCGGGCAAGGCCGGUGCCAGCCGCCGCGGUAACACCGGCGGCUCGAGUGGUAACCGUUAUUAUUGGGUCUAAAGGGUCUGUAGCCGGCCGGGUAAGUCUCUUGGGAAAUCUGGCAGCUUAACUGUCAGGCUUUCAGGAGAUACUGCCUGGCUCGAGGCCGGGAGAGGUGAGAGGUACUUCAGGGGUAGGGGUGAAAUCUUGUAAUCCUUGAAGGACCACCAGUGGCGAAGGCGUCUCACCAGAACGGACCUGACGGCAAGGGACGAAAGCUAGGGGCACGAACCGGAUUAGAUACCCGGGUAGUCCUAGCCGUAAACGAUACUCGCUAGGUGUCGGCCACGGUGCGACCGUGGUCGGUGCCGUAGGGAAGCCGUGAAGCGAGCCACCUGGGAAGUACGGCCGCAAGGCUGAAACUUAAAGGAAUUGGCGGGGAGCA
Molecule: ribosomal RNA, 544 nt
Filed under: uncultured archaeon
Lineage: Archaea
Description: bacterial SSU rRNA
Rfam family: Archaeal small subunit ribosomal RNA
Source: RNAcentral